AUUGGAGAAUAUCACAUCUUUGGGUCAUUUAAAUAAAAUGCACAGAUUGCCUUAGCCACAGUCCUACUCAACAUGACUGUCUUGUCAAUUAAAAAAAACGACGACGUAUGUUUCUCAGUCCUAGCACAAGUACUACCUGAUGUUCUAACCAAACUCACGGAUCCAGAGUCUCAUUUUAGAAUCUAUGUUGCCUUAGGGACAUUAAUUCAGCAGUCAAACUCUCACAAGACUGAAAUUGUUCAGAGAGUGAACGAUAACAGCAAUUUCUUGACUACGUUACAGUUGCAUAGUUUUUCUGGAGGAAAUGAACUGGAAUGCAAAAGAACGAACUGCGUGAAACAACUGCAAGCUUUACUUCAAUAGUAUACUUUAAAAAAUGAAUUUUUAUAACAAGUGUUAAGCCAAAUUAAUUUAUUUUUAAAAAUACGUAUGUAAAAGUUGGAUACUUUAACAAUAUAGGUUUUGAAAGUGAAUUUUAA
This is a long non-coding RNA of Sitophilus oryzae (rice weevil), 479 nucleotides long. RefSeq lists it as uncharacterized. The transcript has 3 exons. NCBI's taxonomy places the organism in Eukaryota, Metazoa, Arthropoda, Insecta, Coleoptera, Curculionidae. The record is from RefSeq and is a predicted model, not a curated record.